CUUUGGCGAUUUAGCUCCAUGACGUUGCGUGUAUGCUCAUAAAGCUAGAUUACCAAAGCA
RNAcentral lists this microRNA precursor (60 nucleotides) under Heliconius melpomene (postman butterfly). Its description in RNAcentral is "Hme-Mir-9-P12_pre stem-loop". The record is from RNAcentral. Lineage: Eukaryota; Metazoa; Arthropoda; Insecta; Lepidoptera; Nymphalidae.